AACGAACGCUGGCGGCAUGCCUAACACAUGCAAGUCGAACGAAACCUUCGGGUCUAGUGGCGCACGGGUGCGUAACGCGUGGGAACCUGCCCUUAGGUUCGGAAUAACUCCCCGAAAGGGGUGCUAAUACCGGAUAAUGUCUUCGGAUCAAAGAUUUAUCGCCUUUGGAUGGGCCCGCGUUGGAUUAGCUAGUUGGUAGGGUAAAAGCCUACCAAGGCGAGGAUCCAUAGCUGGUCUGAGAGGAUGAUCAGCCACACUGGGACUGAGACACGGCCCAGACUCCUACGGGAGGCAGGAGUGGGGAAUAGUGGACAGUGGGCGAAAGGCUGAUCCAGCAAUGCCGCGUGAGUGAUGAAGGCCUUAGGGUUGUAAAGCUCUUUUAACCGGGAUGAUAAUGACAGUACCGGGAGAAUAAGCUCCGGCUAACUCCGUG
This 433-nucleotide ribosomal RNA is filed under the name uncultured bacterium. Its description in RNAcentral is "partial 16S ribosomal RNA". It matches the Rfam family "Bacterial small subunit ribosomal RNA", at positions 29 to 507 of the family's 1533-position model. The record is from RNAcentral.